This 294-nucleotide long non-coding RNA is filed under the name Elaeis guineensis (African oil palm). Its description in RNAcentral is "long non-coding RNA (EGUI_LNC019630)". Lineage: Eukaryota; Viridiplantae; Streptophyta; Magnoliopsida; Arecales; Arecaceae. The record is from RNAcentral.
AAGCUAAAAUCACACGCCCCUCUCACUUCUCCAUAUAAUUUCAUGUGCCAUGCAUAUGAGGCGUGUGCUCCUCUUGAUCUUAUCCAAAGGUGGCAUGCGCCCCACUUGAUCAUUUUCAAAAAAAUCUGCACCAAGUCAUGGGAGAGAAAGUAGAAAUAAACCAAUUAAUUGGCUCGACCCAAUCCUAUUGAGGCACCCAAUGUGAUGCCCCUCUUGAUCCAAAUAGAUUAGUUAAGGAUUAAGGCUAUUAACUUGAUCUAAAUCUUAUUUAAUAAGGAAUCAAGUCCAAAAAAG